GAAUUCGCCCUUAGAGUUUGCUUCUGGCUCAGGACGAACGCUGGCGGCGUGCCUAACACAUGCAAGUCGAGCGGGAAGCUCCGAAAUUGAGACUUCGGUUGAUUUUUUGGAGUGGAGAGCGGCGGACGGGUGAGUAACGCGUGAGUAACCUGCCUACCAGAGGGGGAUAACACAUAGAAAUGUGUGCUAAUACCGCAUGACACCGUAGUACCGCAUGGUACAUCGGUCAAAGAUUUAUCGCUGGUAGAUGGACUCGCGUCUGAUUAGCUAGUUGGAGGGGUAACGGCCCACCAAGGCGACGAUCAGUAGCCGAACUGAGAGGUUGAUCGGCCACAUUGGGACUGAGACACGGCCCAGACUCCUACGGGAGGCAGCAGUGGGGAAUAUUGCGCAAUGGGGGAAACCCUGACGCAGCAACGCCGCGUUGAGGAUGACGGUUUUCGGAUUGUAAACUCAUGUCUGAUGGGAAGAUAAUGACGGUACCAUCGGAGGAAGUCACGGCUAACUACGUGCCAGCAGCCGCGGUAAUACGUAGGUGGCAAGCGUUGUCCGGAAUUACUGGGUGUAAAGGGCGCGUAGACGGGUUGGUAAGUUAGAUGUGAAAUGCCGGGGCUCAACCCCGGAGCUGCAUUUAAAACUGCCGAUCUUGAGUGCAGGAGAGGGAAGCGGAAUUCCUAGUGUAGCGGUGAAAUGCGUAGAUAUUAGGAGGAACACCAGUGGCGAAGGCGGCUUUCUGGACUGUAACUGACGUUGAGGCGCGAAAGCGUGGGUAGCAAACAGGAUUAGAUACCCUGGUAGUC
Molecule: ribosomal RNA, 800 nt
Filed under: uncultured bacterium
Lineage: Bacteria
Description: bacterial SSU rRNA
Rfam family: Bacterial small subunit ribosomal RNA
Source: RNAcentral